Molecule: long non-coding RNA, 2218 nt
Filed under: Salvia miltiorrhiza (redroot sage)
Lineage: Eukaryota; Viridiplantae; Streptophyta; Magnoliopsida; Lamiales; Lamiaceae
Description: long non-coding RNA (SMIL_LNC001608)
Source: RNAcentral
UCAAGCAACUCUCUCUCUCCUUCAUCCUCACCAAUCGGCCACCCCUCUCUCUCCUUUCUCUCUCAUAUUUCCUCCAUUGUCAACCAUUGGAGAGACCUCCGAAGCUUCACCAAAAUAUGCCAAACACAUAAAUCACCAACAAAAUUCCACCUAAACACCUCCUAUCAACUUGAAUCCAAGGAAAUCCUUGAAGAUUGGCUUCAAGACUAGUGAGAGAAAGUUUGAUUGUUGGUGAAAAACUUGAGUAAGUGAUCUCUAUAUUCAUAGAUUAAACUUGUAUGAUGAUAUAUAUGAGUAUAUUUGAAGGAUUGAAGCAAGAAAUCACCCCCUCUUUUAUUCUUCAAGAUUUUCGAAAAUUUGGGUGUUCUACCCUUCAAAAAAAUUUUCUUCUUCUUUCCUUGAAUUGAGGUGAGAAAAAUGAUCUAUGUGAUGUUUGGUAAUGAUUUGUGUGUGUUUUGAAAAGCUAUGCUUUGUGAUGUAAAAAUUUGGUUGAGUUAGUUUACCCCAAUUUGGGAACUUUUGAGUUGAUGGUUUAAAUGAUGAAUUGAUGAUGUAUAUGAGUCCAUGAGAUGUAUAUGAUGAUGAUUGAUGGAGUAAAUUGAGCAUAUGAAGUCAAUUGAUGAUUUUGAUAUGAGUUAGUUUACUAAAAUUAGGGCUAUGUGUAUCUAUGCUCUAAUUUGUAAAUUGAUGGAAUAUAUGUGAGUCUAAAUGACUAAAAUUGAUAGAUAUAUGAUGAGAUUAAAGAUCCAUGUGAGUUCAUAAAAUGUCAAAGAGUUUAGUUUGGUAAAAAUUGGGAUUUUCUUGUCUAUGUGUUUAAUAAAUGAUUUGGCUUAAGAUAUGUGUAAUUGAGCAUGAUGUUGGUGUUUUAAUAUGUUUGAUUAAGUCUAUUGGAAACUAAGUAAAAUUUUGACUUGAGUUAGUUUAUGAGAGUUUUUGAGUUUUCAUAUCUUGAGAAGUCGAUGAUUGAUAACAUGAGGUCUAAUUUGCUUUAUGACCAUUAUGUGAAGUUGUCAUGUUUUUGUUGAGAGUUUAUGUGGAUAUAUGAGUUUUUAUUAGAGUUUAGUUGGCAUGAUUAUAGGGGAUUUAUUUGUGUAAAAUGAGUUACAUGAUGUAUGAAGUCAUUAAUGAAUGAUUGAAUGAUAUUGAGCAUGAAAUUGAAAAGAGGAUUGAAUUGAUACGUUUGUAGAAACGUUUUCCUUGAGAUUUGAGUUUAUGAUGUAAGAGGAGAUUUGAGAUUGAGUAUGAUGAGUAUUUUAAAUGUUUUUGAAUGUUUUUGAGUGUUAUAUGUGUUUAAAAUGAACUUUGAUUGGUUUUCUUUGAAGAAAUGUUGAAUUGAGCAUUUAAGAGUUUGAGAUGAGUUUUUGGUGAUUUUUCGUAGGCUACUGACCUACUGUGAUCGACGGGUUGUCGAUGUCUAAUGGCUUUGAAAAUUUUACAGCAUGUCCCUACAUGAGUCUUGAGCAUACCUGUAAAAUUUCAAGUCAUUUGGACUUGAUUUACUAUUUUUAUAAAAUGCAAAACCAAAUCUGCACAUUUCUACCGGGAAUUUCAGAGAACAGGGGACAAAGUCAUUCAUUUCAGUAGCUUCCUGUGUGAUCUAGCUUUCCAAAUUUUUAUGGUAUCAACCUUACUGUAUGGGCUAGAUAUCCACCAAAUUUGAGCUCAGUUUGACAACGUUUACUAUUUUUCAAAAAUCAAUGUUUCCGAUUGCUCAAAACUGCCGAAUAUGGUAGACCGUGGUAAAAACGCCAUAUCUCCCAAACCACUUGGAGUUUCUGACUCUACUUUUUUUUAAAUGAAACUAGACUCAAAUACCUUCUUUUGGUAUGAGUCUGGAGUCCAGGAGAUGUCGGAGUCAGAACGUGUUAAAUUUUGAAGUUGAGUCAGUGGGAAAACAGAACAUGAUUUGUUGAUGUUUGAUUGUAUUUUCUUAUGUGCCUUAUGUGUUUGUGUUGCCUAAGUGUUUUAAUGAGAUUAGACGAGUCUUAUAUGAGAGAUAAAUCGAGACUUAGAACCAUGAUUUUCUUGAAACCUAUCCUUGGACUUAAGGUUUUGAAAUGAGUGAAGAAGUUUAUGUAGAGUCGAUUAAGAGAUAGAAUAUAAGAUAGAGCAUGAGUUAAGGCAUGAGUUUUUGUCGUUGAGUUCUAAUCGAGAUUCAUUUUAUGACAUGAACCUUCGAUGAUGACGAUGAUCCCUGAAGACACGAGCAGAGCAGGGA